UUGCUUUCGCUUCCCCCCCUGCCCGCGUGAAUGCUCUGGAAGGGGCUGCAGAGCAGCUAUAAUACAGCAGAGGAGCUGGGCUAGGAGCUUGACUUCAGCAGAGGAAGGGAUAAAAUGAGCCAAGCAAUACGGAAAGAAGCAGCUAAGCUGGGAAAAUGAAAAACUGCAAAGGUACCCAGAACUGAAUUGAAAAACUAAUUAAUGUCUUAAAAAAACAACAAAAAACCAAACUAUUCCUGUGGGCAAGCAAAGCAACACAGUGAAGAAUCUGUUUAUAGCUUGCACUAGGAGCAGCCAAACUGUGCUUAUCACUGCGCUAAAUGAUUUGCUGAGGCUCUUAAUGACAGUUGCCUUUUUCUUCUCGGAAAGCUCGGCAAAGGAGUGAU
This 386-nucleotide long non-coding RNA is filed under the name Struthio camelus australis. Its description in RNAcentral is "lncRNA (ENSSCUG00000005126.1)". The record is from RNAcentral. Lineage: Eukaryota; Metazoa; Chordata; Aves; Struthioniformes; Struthionidae.